CACAAGCAAGUCAAGGACAGAGCCCCAAGGGAAACCUACAGUUAGGGAGCAUGACCUGCAUGAAGAUCCAGCAAAAGAGACAUAAAAAGAGUGGUGAGACAGGUGUGAGAUGUACCAGGAGAGAGCAGUGUCCUGAAAACCCUAGAAAGAAGAAAAUGUCAAGAAGAGAGUGACUGGCAGUGUCAACAGUUGCAGAGUAGUCAGGAUAAAGACUGAGAAAAGUAGGCAGCAAUGAAGAGUUUCCUCCUCUCAUAGGAUUGCCACUCAAGGAAGAAGCAUCACCUGAUAAACAUCAUCUUCAUAGUAGGAGUCUGACUGCCUUUCAUAAACUGAGUUGGAAAAUGCAAAAAAAAAAAAAA
Molecule: non-coding RNA, 359 nt
Organism: Phascolarctos cinereus (koala)
Lineage: Eukaryota; Metazoa; Chordata; Mammalia; Diprotodontia; Phascolarctidae
Source: RefSeq, a predicted model, not a curated record